UUCAAGAAUCAAAACAUGUAUUAUAAGAAAAAUAUAUAGUAGUGUUAUUGUAUCAAUAUUAGGUUAUGUUUCGUGGAAAAAAAUUGACACGGUAUCGGUUAUACUGAAAAAAAUAUGACAGUUAGUACCUUAAUCAUAUAAACACUGGAUAAAAGCAUUUUAAUUUUGCAUCAGUGUAAUUUCUAAUCGUAUUUUCAUAAUCCAUACUAUUGUAUAAAAUAUAUUGCACGAUGAGGCGAAAGGCAGGCGUUGGUGCUAUCCAAAAACAAAAGCUGGAGCAAGAAAAAUACAAAGAUAAGGGAACUGAGAUUCAAGAAAAUCAAUUUGAGCAAAUGACAAAACAGAUGGAAACUUUUCGUGUGAAUCUAGAGGAAUUCGCAACAAAAUAUAAAAAUGAAAUUAAAAAAAAUGCACGUUUUCGGCGGCAAUUUACCGAAAUGUGUGCAUCGAUAGGUGUAGAUCCUUUAGCCUCAGGUAAAGGAUUUUGGUCAGUUCUUGGAAUAGGAGACUUUUAUUACGAACUUGCUGUUCAAAUUGUUGAAGUUUGUAUGGCUACAAAUUAUAAAAAUGGUGGAUUAAUAUCAUUGGAUGAACUUAGAGCAAGAUUAAUUCAAGCUAGAGGCCGUAGGAAAGAACAUCAAGAAAUUACGAAUGAAGACUUACUAGCUGCAGCUAAAAAAUUAAAAAUUUUUGGGAAUGGAUUUUCUAUUGUUCCAAUUGGAAGAGGCAAACAUUUAGUUCAAUCUGUACCUGGUGAACUCAGUAUGGAUCAUACUGCCGUACUACAACAAGCUAGUUUAUCUGGAAAUGCAUAUGUUUCAAGAUCCAUGUUAUGUAAGGAAUUAAAAUGGGAAUCAGAUAGGACACAGAAAGCUUUGGACCAUAUGGUAAAAGAAGGACUGGCAUGGUUAGAUGAACAAGUUGGCGUGCUUGAGCCUCCCUGAAAACCUUAAGCUCGUCCGCAGUCAUGCCCUUGUAACGCGAGGCCAACGGUUUGUGCGGUCCAUGAAUGCUCUCCGCCUGCUCUUUGGCUUCCGUAAGGAAGUCCCCAGUCACGUGAUUGUAGAUAUCCGCCUUCUUCUCCUCCUCCUCUUGAAGGGCUUCGCAGCGGCGACGGUAUUCCUGUUCCUCUGCCUAUCGUUGGAAGGGGAAAAACGGAGCCGGUCAUUCGACUAAAACGUACGUCCAACGGAGCGUGACAACUCGAAAAGAAAAAAAAAAAGUCAAGGACGGGAACGCGUGGAAAGAGAUGGGGAAGCGACUGGAUGAUCGUUCGCCGUAUUAUUACCGAGACUCGUGAGUCGAUGACGUCACCAAGUUUGCUCAUCGACCGUAUAGCAGCCUCGCCAUCGCUGUAAACGGCGCUCACCUUCGGCGAAGGUUUAUGUUAACUGUGUGUGGAUCGUGUUCAGGACGCGUUAAGCGGCCGAGUAACAAUGAUUCGCUCAUCGGUACGGUGACACGAGGGCGAAUAUCAUCAGCGACCAGAACAGAACACUCGUAUCAAGAAUAACGAGAUUUUGCUUGCGUUGAACUUUGACAUUUCACGGUUCAACGUCAUUGGCUCGUUCGUGACAAGAGGCUUACGAGAGGGAGAUUUUAAAUCAAUUAAUGCGAUGGAGAGUCAUCAAGCGUUAAUUAUCUGAAUUUUCACUUUCUCGUCGUACAUCGAUACCAACACGCAAACAACUAGAAGCCAGAACGAGGUUUGUGCUCGAUCUCUAUCCGUGUGAAAAGAUUCGAUUUUCCUUCAUGCAUGGAAUUGUCAGAUAAUGAGAUUCUUAUCUUUUUCUUGCAGUUUCCGAAACAUGCAGUUCCCGGAUGUUUGAUCAAAGGACUAUAUGGAAGAAAGCCUUACCAUGGCUUGAUUAAAUCGUGCGGUAGCUUCGUUUAACUUUCGACGACAGUCUUCUUCCAUCUGAGCUAUCUUCAUGGCACGCUUGUCUCUGGAGAGGAUGGCUGCUUCCUGAGCUUUGUCGAAUUCAUCCUGUUCGCUCUUGGCGGACAGAUGUUCCUGCAUUUGUUCUCGAUCCACCACCUCAUCUCUUCUUUCUUUGCCUUCAACUUUUCCUUUAAGUCAUCCUCUUCGCCUUUUAAUCUAUAUGGUUUUUAGAAAAUUAAAUAUUUUAACGAAAUUAAAAUCGGAGAGAAAUGGAAUCAAAAUGAUAACAAUAAUUACAGCUCGCUGAAAGAUAGAUCGCGAUCGUCUUUUUUCGGCAGAUCGCAUUCCUGGCGUAAUUGAUAUUGCUGCCUAUAAUGCUCGAUCUCUUUGUGGAUCUUUCGCCUUUCCUGGAAUAUCAAUCAUCGAUAAAACGUAUAAUCCUAGUUUCGCUAAGAAAGAAGAAAAGAACGAACAAAAGUAAAACGGAUGAAACAAACCGAUCCUACAACUUUGAAGCAAAAUGUUGUCGAGUUCGGAUUCUCGGGCUUCUUCCAGUUCACGUUGCUGCUUCUUUUCCUCGACCUGUUUGUCCAAGAAUUCCUUGUCUAUCUGCGGACAGCACGUUAUAAAAAAAUUGUUAUCGGACGUUUCUCGAUAAUGAAUCACAAUACUUAUCGUUGUUUCGCGUGCGGAUUCUUUUUUAUCGUUUCACACGAAUGCAUUCACACGAAUCGAUCGUACAACACGCUAAC
This 2634-nucleotide unclassified non-coding RNA is filed under the name Apis florea (little honeybee). RNAcentral's name for it is "vacuolar-sorting protein SNF8, transcript variant X1". Lineage: Eukaryota; Metazoa; Arthropoda; Insecta; Hymenoptera; Apidae. The record is from RNAcentral.